GAUGAACGCUGGCGGCGUGCUUAACACAUGCAAGUCGAACGGAAAGGCCACAGCUUGCUGUGGUACUCGAGUGGCGAACGGGUGAGUAACACGUGGGUGAUCCGCCCUGUACUUCGGGAUAAGCUUGGGAAACUGGGUCUAAUACCGGAUAGGAAUCACAUGUGGGUGUGUGGUUGGAAAGCUUUUGCGGUAUGGGAUGAGCUCGCGGCCUAUCAGCUUGUUGGUGGGGUAAUGGCCUACCAAGGCGUCGACGGGUAGCCGGCCUGAGAGGGUGUACGGCCACAUUGGGACUGAGAUACGGCCCAGACUCCUACGGGAGGCAGCAGUGGGGAAUAUUGCACAAUGGGCGCAAGCCUGAUGCAGCGACGCCGCGUGGGGGAUGACGGCCUUCGGGUUGUAAACUCCUUUCGUCAGGGACGAAGCGAAAGUGACGGUACCUGGAUAAGAAGCACCGGCUAACUACGUG
Molecule: ribosomal RNA, 466 nt
Filed under: uncultured bacterium
Lineage: Bacteria
Description: partial 16S ribosomal RNA
Rfam family: Bacterial small subunit ribosomal RNA
Source: RNAcentral